RNAcentral lists this ribosomal RNA (253 nucleotides) under uncultured bacterium. RNAcentral describes it as "partial 16S ribosomal RNA". It matches the Rfam family "Bacterial small subunit ribosomal RNA", at positions 524 to 776 of the family's 1533-position model. The record is from RNAcentral.
UACAGAGGGGGCAAGCGUUGUUCGGAAUUACUGGGCGUAAAGGGCGCGUAGGCGGCCCGCUAAGGCGAACGUGAAAUCCCCGAGCUCAACUCGGGAACUGCGUCCGAUACUGGCGGGCUUGAAUCCGGGAGAGGGAUGCGGAAUUCCAGGUGUAGCGGUGAAAUGCGUAGAUAUCUGGAGGAACACCGGUGGCGAAGGCGGCAUCCUGGACCGGCAUUGACGCUGAGGCGCGAAAGCGUGGGGAGCAAACAGG